This 82-nucleotide microRNA precursor is filed under the name Cebus imitator (Panamanian white-faced capuchin). RNAcentral's name for it is "miRNA (ENSCCAG00000010070.1)". The record is from RNAcentral. Lineage: Eukaryota; Metazoa; Chordata; Mammalia; Primates; Cebidae.
UUAGGUUGGUGCAAAAGUCACUGCGGUUUUUGCCAUUGAAAGUAAUGGCAAAAACCACAGUGACUUUUGCACCAACGUAAUA